Molecule: ribosomal RNA, 2761 nt
Filed under: Leiomyza curvinervis
Lineage: Eukaryota; Metazoa; Arthropoda; Insecta; Diptera; Asteiidae
Description: partial 28S ribosomal RNA
Rfam family: Eukaryotic large subunit ribosomal RNA
Source: RNAcentral
GGUAAAGCGAAUGAUUAGAGGCCUUAGGAUCGAAACGAUCUUAACCUAUUCUCAAACUUUAAAUGGGUAUGAACCUAACCUUUCUUGAUAUGAAGGUUUAGGUUAUGAUAUAUUGUGCCCAGUGGGCCACUUUUGGUAAGCAGAACUGGCGCUGUGGGAUGAACCAAACGUAAUGUUACGGUGCCCAAAUUAACAACUCAUACAGAUACCAUGAAAGGCGUUGGUUGCUUAAGACAGCAGAUCGGUGGACAUGGAAGUCGUAAUCCGCUAAGGAGUGUGUAACAACUCACCUGCCGAAGCAACUAGCCCUUAAAAUGGAUGGCGCUUAAGUUGUAUACCUAUACAUUACCGCAAAAGUAAAUGAUUUCAUAUAUAAUUGAAAUUUUGAAACUUUUGUGAGUAGGAAGGUACAAUGGUGUGCACAGAAGUGUUUGGCGUGAGCCUGCAUGGAGCCGCCAUUGGCACAGAUCUUGGUGGUAGUAGCAAAUAAUCGAAUGAGACCUUGGAGGACUGAAGUGGAGAAGGGUUUCGUGUGAACAGUGGUUGAUCACGAGUUAGUCGGUCCUAAGUUUAAGGUGAAAGCCGAAAAUUUUUAAAGUUAUAAUAAUAAAAAAAAUAUUUUUUUUAUAUUAAUACACUUUAUUAUAUUCGAACGAAAGGGAAUACGGUUCCAAUUCCGUAACCUGUUGAGUAUCCGUUUGUUAUUAAAAAUGGGCCUUGUGCUCAUCCUGGCAACAGGAACGACCAUAAAGAAGCUGUCGAGUGAUAUCGGAAGAGUUUUCUUUUCUGUUUUAUAAUCGUAUUACCAUGGAAGUCUUUCGAAGAGAGAUAUGGUAAAUGGAUUAGAAGAGCAUGACAUUUACUGUUGUGUCGAUAUUAACUCCUCGGACCUUGAAAAUUUAUGGUGGGGUCACGCAAACUUCUCAACAGGCCGUACCGAUAUCCGCAGCUGGUCUCCAAGGUGAAGAGUCUCUAGUCGAUAGAAUAAUGUAGGUAAGGGAAGUCGGCAAAUUAGAUCCGUAACUUCGGGAUAAGGAUUGGCUCUGAAGAUUGAGAUAGUCGGGCUUGAUUGGGAAGCAAUAACAUGGUUUAUGUACUCGUUCUGGGUAAAUAGAAUUAUUGUAUAUGUAUAUUUUUAAUAUGCUAUGCAUUUUUCGUUCCUCGGAUAGUAGUUACGUAACCAAUUGUGGAACUUUCUUGCUAAUAUUAUUAUGUUUAAAUUAUUAUUGCAAUAUUGUUUUUUAAAUGGUAUUGUAUAAUAAUACAUUUUAAUUAUAACGAUUAUCAAUUAACAAUCAAUUCAGAACUGGCACGGACUUGGGGAAUCCGACUGUCUAAUUAAAACAAAGCAUUGUGAUGGCCCUAACGGGUGUUGACACAAUGUGAUUUCUGCCCAGUGCUCUGAAUGUCAAAGUGAAGAAAUUCAAGUAAGCGCGGGUCAACGGCGGGAGUAACUAUGACUCUCUUAAGGUAGCCAAAUGCCUCGUCAUCUAAUUAGUGACGCGCAUGAAUGGAUUNNNNNNNNNNNNNNNNNNNNNNNNNNNNNNNNNNNNNNNNNNNNNNNNNNNNNNNNNNNNNNNNNNNNNNNNNGGGGAAAGAAGACCCUUUUGAGCUUGACUCUAAUCUGGCAGUGUAAGGAGACAUAAGAGGUGUAGCAUAAGUGGGAGUUAGAUUAUUUUCGGAUUUUUUAACAACAAUGAAAUACCACUACUCUUAUUGUUUCCUUACUUACUUGAUUAAGUGGAACAUGCAUAUUUGCCUAGCCAUAUUAUGGGUUAUAUUUAUAUAACUUUUGGUAUUGGGUUUCUUAUGCAAGUUUCUUGUACAAAAUACGAAGAGUUUGUUAUAUAAUUGUAAACAAAUAUGCAAUAUAAAUGUUUAAAUGUUUAUGUUAUUUCGGUAAUAUGGAUAUGCGAAUAUUAUAAUUGUAAUUUGGUAUAACUCCAAACACUCAGGUAUGAUCCAAUUCAAGGACAUUAUCAGGUAGGGAGUUUGACUGGGGCGGUACAUCUCUCAAAUAAUAACGGAGGUGUCCCAAGGCCAGCUCAGUGCGGACAGAAACCACACAUAGAGCAAAAGGGCAAAUGCUGACUUGAUCUGGAUGUUCAGUACACAUACAGACAGCAAAAGCUCGGCCUAUCGAUCCUUUUGGUUUAAGGAGUUUUUAACAAGAGGUGUCAGAAAAGUUACCAUAGGGAUAACUGGCUUGUGGCGGCCAAGCGUUCAUAGCGACGUCGCUUUUUGAUCCUUCGAUGUCGGCUCUUCCUAUCAUUGUGAAGCAAAAUUCACCAAGCGUUGGAUUGUUCACCCAUGCAAGGGAACGUGAGCUGGGUUUAGACCGUCGUGAGACAGGUUAGUUUUACCCUACUAAUGACAAAAUGUUAUUGCGACAGCAUUCCUGCGUAGUACGAGAGGAACCGCAGGUACGGACCAAUGGCACAAUACUUGUUCGAGCGAACAGUGGUAUGACGCUACGUCCGUUGGAUUAUGCCUGAACGCCUCUAAGGUCGUAUCCGUGCUGGACUGCAAUAAUAAAUAUGGGGCGCUUGUUGUUUGUUUGGCUAAUUAAAACCAUAUUAAAGUUUUUAUAAUUUAUUUUAUAUUAACGACAAUGGAUGUGUGAUGCCAAUGUUACUUGUUACAUAGCUUAUACUGGAGGAUAUUAUCACCAGUAGACAAUGCUUAGUAGCUUGUUAAAACAUUAAUUAUUACAAUAACAAAGCCUAGAAUCAAUUGUAAACGACUUUGGUAACGGGCAAGG